This is a long non-coding RNA of Drosophila rhopaloa, 1281 nucleotides long. RefSeq lists it as uncharacterized. The record is from RefSeq and is a predicted model, not a curated record. Lineage: Eukaryota; Metazoa; Arthropoda; Insecta; Diptera; Drosophilidae. The transcript has 5 exons.
CGGAACGGCAAAACCUUAUGGACCAUCCGUUGGUGGAUGGUGGAUGGAGCUCUGUGGGAAGAGGGCAUUAGUGCCUUAAAUCAUAACACAAGGAAGUACUAAAAAAUAAAAAACCUUAGUUCUGCCCCACCAGUGGUAAGAGACAUCGCCAGGCGAUCGAAAUGCAGCUUGACGGAGAUGCCUAUUGUUAUGGAACUGCAUAUUGUUCUUCCUGGGACGGCCCCGGCUAGCUUCGGAAUCCUUAGGGCGGAGUACCCCCAAUGUCCCUACAGCCCCACAACAUUAAAUAUCGAUGACUAUCGACGUCUCGCUCUACAAAUACUAACAUCUCUAAUAACCUAAACGUAAACAAACGAAACAACAAACAAAUCGGGACCAAUACGACGGAAAAGUGGCAUCAGAUGUGGCUGCCACAGCGCACCCUCCCUUUCUGUGGUGCCCGAGGGAGGCACCACCCAUCGUUAGCGGCCGGAAUCACUGCCAGGCGGUCUACGACCGGCCCAUCUCCCCCAACAGGUAAGGAUGCUUCUUUAUAUGCGUGACCCUAAGCGCACCAGCAUUUUGAAAAUAAUACUAAGGGGUCACAGCGGUAGUACCGACAAGGUCGGGAAACUAGCUACGGUCACCGCGGAACCAAAUCUUCGCGCAGGGUUGGUUGGGUCUACUGCACCAUUUCGGGUCACCUAAUCCCGGGAAGCUCCGAGGGAUAAGAAGGGACGUGCGGAUUCCCGCGACCAAAUAGCUGGGUUUAACGAGGGGCGAGAAUGGAAGGACGCAGGUAAAUCCGCAUCAAUUUACAACGAUGGUGUGGUGCGGAGAUCGGUACCACGCCUUGGUUUGGCCACUGUGGAUCGCGACGUGGGAGAGGCCGCGUGGUGAAGGAGCACAGUCAGGGUCGCGACGCAGCGCUGAUCGGGUUCUACGUGCCCGGAAUGGACUCACCGAGCCGAUUCCAACAUGAAAUGCAACACUAUGCAUAUCUCAACCAUCAACAACCAGAUGCUGGAUGGAUUUAAGGAACACUCUCUCCAAUGAGUACAAAACCCAGACGUCCUGCAAAGACGUAAGACGGCUGUAUAACACCCCCUUUCCCGGGUGUAUACGUAAGUUCGUUGAGGAUAUAGUCGUCCGAUCCUUUUGAAAUUUCGCAGGUCGGAUUGAUUGGUUAAAAAUAAAACCAUAGAAAGUCCCAACUUCCUAACUUUACAAACACCAAAGUUAUGGCAUUUCCGAUCAAUCAUAUAGGAUAUAGUCGACUGAUCCCGGCCGUUAUAUAUUGCG